RNAcentral lists this transfer RNA (73 nucleotides) under Planobispora rosea. RNAcentral's name for it is "tRNA-Val". It matches the Rfam family "tRNA". Rfam says of the family: Transfer RNA (tRNA) molecules are approximately 80 nucleotides in length. Lineage: Bacteria; Bacillati; Actinomycetota; Actinomycetes; Streptosporangiales; Streptosporangiaceae. The record is from RNAcentral. RNAcentral also lists the same sequence under 2 other names.
GGACGAUUAGCUCAGCGGGAGAGCGCUUCCCUGACACGGAAGAGGUCACAGGUUCAAUCCCUGUAUCGUCCAC